This is a non-coding RNA of Arachis ipaensis, 678 nucleotides long. The record is from RefSeq and is a predicted model, not a curated record. Lineage: Eukaryota; Viridiplantae; Streptophyta; Magnoliopsida; Fabales; Fabaceae.
CAUCAGCUUCUUCUUCCUCACUUCAUACACCACGCAGCAAACAGAAAGGGGAAGAGGAGGAGAUCCGUAACCCUCAUCCAAUCUUCAAACCACCGUAUCUUCCUCGUUUGAGCUCCGAUCGCUGCACCGUUUGCGGCCACGCGUCCAGCGCGUCAAGCUCUACCUUUCUAUCCGAACAAUUUCUCUCGUUCAAAAUAGCUUCCGGAACUUGUGAGCUCAAGCUAUUGAGCAUAUGGGUAUGGUGUAGGUUAAGUGGGUGUUUAUGUAUUGGAAUUGAAUUGGGAUUACUUGGAGGUUUGUUGGUGACCAAGGCUUGCUUUGGGGUUGUUUGAUUGAGCUUGGAGGGGCUGUAAUUUUGUAUUGAGAGGCUGCCUUGGAUGAAUUAAGUGAUCGGCCAAGAUGCAGGUCGAGAGGCUCCUUGCUAGGCGUCUGGAUCCUAGGAAGCGAAGUAGUCCUUGGAUGUGUUUUGGCUUUCUAUUUGUAUAUAUGUAUAUAUGUAUUUAGCUUACUCUCCAAGUAACUUAUGUAUGCUGCUUCUCUUAGAGGUUGAGGGAGAGAUAGGAGUUUACUUUGAUAUUUUGGUGUAUUUUGGGAUAUUUUGGGAACACUUAUGUUUGUUUGUUUAUAUAUAUAUAUCCUCCGGCCAGCCUUAGUUUCGCAGGCUGAGUCAGGGGCUAG